AUUGAACGCUGGCGGCAUGCCUAACACAUGCAAGUCGAACGGCAGCACAGCAGUAGCAAUACUGUGGGUGGCGAGUGGCGGACGGGUGAGGAAUACGUCGGAAUCUGCCCAGUCGUGGGGGAUAACUAGCCGAAAGGUUAGCUAAUACCGCAUACGACCGAGAGGUGAAAGCGGGGGACCGCAAGGCCUCGCGCGAUUGGAUGAGCCGACGUCGGAUUAGCUAGUUGGCGGGGUAAAGGCCCACCAAGGCGACGAUCCGUAGCUGGUCUGAGAGGAUGAUCAGCCACACUGGAACUGAGACACGGUCCAGACUCCUACGGGAGGCAGCAGUGGGGAAUAUUGGACAAUGGGCGCAAGCCUGAUCCAGCAAUGCCGCGUGUGUGAAGAAGG
RNAcentral lists this ribosomal RNA (390 nucleotides) under uncultured bacterium. Its description in RNAcentral is "bacterial SSU rRNA". It matches the Rfam family "Bacterial small subunit ribosomal RNA", at positions 29 to 414 of the family's 1533-position model. The record is from RNAcentral.